This 497-nucleotide ribosomal RNA is filed under the name uncultured bacterium. RNAcentral's name for it is "bacterial SSU rRNA". It matches the Rfam family "Bacterial small subunit ribosomal RNA", at positions 30 to 523 of the family's 1533-position model. The record is from RNAcentral.
AUUGAACGCUGGCGGCAUGCCUUACACAUGCAAGUCGAACGGCAGCGGGCCUUCGGGUGCCGGCGAGUGGCGAACGGGUGAGUAAUGCAUCGGAACGUGCCAUUGAGUGGGGGAUAACGUAGCGAAAGUUACGCUAAUACCGCAUAUUCUGUGAGCAGGAAAGCAGGGGACCGCAAGGCCUUGCGCUCUUUGAGCGGCCGAUGUCAGAUUAGCUAGUUGGUGAGGUAAAGGCUUACCAAGGCGACGAUCUGUAGCGGGUCUGAGAGGAUGAUCCGCCACACUGGAACUGAGACACGGUCCAGACUCCUACGGGAGGCAGCAGUGGGGAAUUUUGGACAAUGGGCGCAAGCCUGAUCCAGCCAUGCCGCGUGAGUGAAGAAGGCCUCGGUUGUAAAGCUCUUUCGGCCGGGAAGAAAUCGCAUGGGUUAAUACCCUGUGUGGAUGACGGUACCGGAAUAAGAAGACACCGGCUAACUACGUGCCAGCAGCCGCGGUAA